GCUGGCGGCGUGCUUAACACAUGCAAGUCGAGUGCGCGUUCCUGUAGCAAUACAGGAAUGGCGCACGGCGCACGGGUGCGUAACACGUGGGUAAUCUGCCCUCUGAUGGGGAAUAACCCGCCGAAAGGCGGGCUAAUUCCGCAUAACAUUCCUUGGACCCCGGUUCGAGGAUUCAAAGGCGUAAGUCGUCGGAGGUGGAGCCCGCGCACGAUUAGCUAGUUGGUAGGGUAACGGCCUACCAAGGCUAUGAUCGUUAGCUGGUCUGAGAGGAUGGCCAGCCACACUGGAACUGAGACACGGUCCAGACUCCUACGGGAGGCAGCAGUGGGGAAUCUUGCACAAUGGGCGAAAGCCUGAUGCAGCGACGCCGCGUGGGGGAUGAAGCUUCUCGGAGUGUAAACCCCUUUCGACCCGGACGAAUGCCCCGCAAGGGGAGUGACGGUACGGGUAUAAGAAGCCCCGGCUAACUACGUGCCAGCAGCCGCGGUAAGACGUAGGGGGCCAGCGUUGUUCGGAAUUACUGGGUGUAAAGGGUUCGUAGGCGGUGUGGCAAGUUGGGA
Molecule: ribosomal RNA, 560 nt
Filed under: uncultured soil bacterium
Lineage: Bacteria
Description: bacterial SSU rRNA
Rfam family: Bacterial small subunit ribosomal RNA
Source: RNAcentral